RNAcentral lists this unclassified non-coding RNA (304 nucleotides) under fungal sp. RNAcentral describes it as "partial internal transcribed spacer region". The stretch from base 1 to 46 matches the Rfam family "Eukaryotic small subunit ribosomal RNA", at positions 1786 to 1831 of the family's 1831-position model. The record is from RNAcentral. Lineage: Eukaryota; Fungi.
AAGUCGUAACAAGGUUUCCGUAGGUGAACCUGCGGAAGGAUCAUUAACAUUGUUAUUCUUUUUUGGGUGUGGUUUGUGUUGUUUGUUUUUAUUAACAGAUGCACAUUCCACUCUCAUUUCACCCCAAAUGUGCAUUGUGUUGUGCUUUUUGAGUCAAAUCAAAAGCACUUCUUUUUUAUAUCUAUACUAAAUAAAACCCCUUUUUAUUACUUCUAGACUGACUUUAAACCACUUGAUUCGUACACUUCAUACUGUACGAUGACCAAUCAUAAUACAACUCUUAGCAACGGAUAUCUAGGCUCUC